CCAAUAGCGUAUAUUAAAGUUGUUGCAGUUAAAAAGCUCGUAGUUGAAUUUCGGGAUUGGCGCAUCGGUCGUGCCUCACGGGGUAUGAACUGGUGCAGUCAAUUUCUCACCUUCUGGAGAACCGCGAUGUCCUUAAUUGGAUGCCGCGGGGAACCAGGACCUUUACUUUGAAAAAAUUAGAGUGUUUAAAGCAGGCAUUUUUGCUUGAAUACAUUAGCAUGGAAUAAUAAAAUAGGACGGCAUGGUUCUAUUUUGUUGGUUUCUAGGACCACAGUAAUGAUUAAUAGGGAUAGUUGGGGGCAUUAGUAUUCAAUUGUCAGAGGUGAAAUUCUUGGAUUUAUUGAAGACUAACUACUGCGAAAGCAUUUGCCAAGGAUGUUUUCAUUAAUCAAGAACGAAAGUUAGGGGAUCGAAGACGAUCAGAUACCGUCGUAGUCUUAACCAUAAACUAUGCCGACUAGGAAUCAGACGAUGUUAAUUUUUUAAUGACUCGUUUGGCACCUUAC
Molecule: ribosomal RNA, 506 nt
Filed under: uncultured Glomeromycotina
Lineage: Eukaryota; Fungi; Glomeromycota
Description: partial small subunit ribosomal RNA
Rfam family: Eukaryotic small subunit ribosomal RNA
Source: RNAcentral